GACUACAUCAUCGACGACCCUUCUUCCCUUUCAGCAGAGCUUCCUGGCAAGCCCCCCCUUUGAUCAUCCCGAAAUCGCCCAUUCUAUUCUCUCAUGCUUGCAUUAGAUUUUGCUACUGUUAUUGUUUGCUCCUAUUCUAAUGCAUAGCAUGCUUUUGUAACCUGCUCAUUGUACCUUACCUGCUUAUCCUAAACUACUUAGUAUAGGUUGGUUAGUGAUCCAUCAGUGACCUCCACCUUGUCCUUGUUGCCCCUGCUUCAUCAUCGAUGACUCGAUCAAUGUGAUCGACGACCAGAGCCCGACACCUCACAUCACAUCAUGCCCCUUUUGUUGCUCGACUCUGCAGAGCUACUAUCGAGUGCCGAGGGUGAUCCCUCAUAACGCACUCCUGAUGAUAAUUUUGUAGUGUAGCUAUUCGAUCGUGGUCAUCGAGGGUGAUAUCCUCUUUCACCAUUCCCGAUACGGCUGUGUCGUGCAACACCUCAAGUGUGAACCUCGAGGGUGGUCCCUCUUACAUUCACCUUGAUGAUUACAUUGAGUGGAAUCCACCGGGGGUGAUUCCUCGGGUUUUCCCUUGAUGUCUGGACACACAGUUACCUUGACUUUACUUGAGACCGUUGUGAAAGCCGGGCGGGCCCGGAGAGUACCCGUGCGAUGUGACGGUGGCGGCUGGCUGUUUAGCGGUAUCACCCAGGAGGGGUGAUAGCUCCGGACUUGUCCCGACAACCGUCACUACUUUAAUUGUUAAUGCACUAACAUGUUUGGGUGUUUGUUCUGAAUUGGCCUUUGGCCUUUACGCACUAACCACCACGCGAGAAUAGAUAUGGGCCUCGACGUCGCAGUAUCAGCCGAAGCUUUGUCAGACGUCCAGUUCAGCAUUGCGGCACGGCUGGGCCGGCACCAUCCUGUAAUGGCGGAGCCUGGUCCGCCCUGCUCGCAACGACCCGGAGUGCAACGGGCGAUGGGCCCAGACCCCGGAGUGCUUAGGAUGUAGACCGGCAGGGACCUCUCUGCUGAGCCUAGGUAGGGCUACGACGUGUUGAUCUUCCGAGGCCGAGCAUUGACCCCAGAAAGGUGCGUCCGGCCAGAGUGAUCGAGCGUGUUGGAAAACGUGGUGCACCCCUGCAGGGAAGACAUAUAUUCGAAUACCGUGUCCACGGUAAUGGACGUUCAGACUUGUAUCCUGAUCUUAUACAACUAGAAAUGGAUACUUGAUAUGUGAUGGAUAUGUUGGCUCCGGGAUUGCUUUCUCGCAGGGAGUCGAGGAAGGAUCUCUGGGCAUUAAUGCUACAACAUGCUUGUUAAAUAUAAACUGCUAUUCUUUACUCUUCUAUAUGCUGCAAGAUGCUUGGAGCUGCUUGAAGAUGCUAGUCUUCGAUAGGCUAGGCCUUCCCCCCUAUUCUGGCAUUCUGCAGUUUAGUCCACAGAUACAACCCUUUCAUUUGAUACCAAUGCAUACUUAGUAUAGAUCUAAUGCUUGUGAGUAUUUUGGAUGAGUACUCACGGUUGCUUUGCUCCCCCUUUUCCCCCUUCCUUCUUCUUUCUGGUUGUUGCAACCAGAUGGUGGAUCCCUGGAGCCAGAUGCCACCGCCGACGGAUACUACUACGUGGAGGCCGCCAAAGACCAGGAGUAGUUAGGAGGUCCCAAGCAGGAGGCCUUGCCUCUUCGAUCGUUGUUGCUUUUGUGUUUGCCUUCUUAAGGCAGUCUUGUCUAACUUUAUGUCUGUACUCAGAUAUUGUUGCUUCCGCUGACUCUUGUGUAUCGAGCUUCUAUUCGAGCCCUCGAGGCCCCUGGCUUCUAAUA
This 1804-nucleotide long non-coding RNA is filed under the name Triticum aestivum (bread wheat). RNAcentral's name for it is "long non-coding RNA (TAES_LNC023729)". The record is from RNAcentral. Lineage: Eukaryota; Viridiplantae; Streptophyta; Magnoliopsida; Poales; Poaceae.